UCGCCUACGGGACGCAGCAGUGGGGAAUAUUGCACAAUGGGGGGAACCCUGAUGCAGCGACGCCGCGUGAGUGAAGAAGUAUUUCGGUAUGUAAAGCUCUAUCAGCAGGGAAGAAGAUGACGGUACCUGACUAAGAAGCCCCGGCUAACUACGUGCCAGCAGCCGCGGUAAUACGUAGGGGGCAAGCGUUAUCCGGAUUUACUGGGAGUAAAGGGAGCGUAGACGGCAGGGCAAGUCUGGAGUGAAAGCCCGGG
This 254-nucleotide ribosomal RNA is filed under the name uncultured bacterium. RNAcentral's name for it is "partial 16S ribosomal RNA". It matches the Rfam family "Bacterial small subunit ribosomal RNA", at positions 335 to 606 of the family's 1533-position model. The record is from RNAcentral.